GCAGGGCGCCUGCAUGGCCGAGGCCUCGUGCCGGGCGGGCGGAGCCAGGGAAGGGGCCGUCGACGUCCACCCGCCGGGGCUGGCCUCCCCGCUCCACCGGAGGCAGCAGCCGCCGCCGCCGCCGCCUUGGGGAACGCCUGGCCGGGCCCGGCGCCAGCCCCAGGGGUAGACUGCCUCUGAGCCCGGAGGCUCGCUCCAUCCACAGGCUCGGUGCCCUCCAGAUUAAGCCCCUGCGGCAAGGCACAAGCGCCAGCGCCCGUCCAGGCUGCGGCCUCCCAGCGCCGCCCACCCGCCAUCCAUCCGGCCCGCCGGGCCAGCUUCCCUUCCCCUCCCCUCCCCUCCGGAGGAGCGCCGCGGGUGUUCCGGGUGGGGUAGACUGCCUCUGAGUCUGGGGGCUCCGCGGGUCUCGGCCGGCGCCCUCCAGGGCCGCUUCGCCGCCGCGGCCAGCAGUGAGUCCCGCGCCGGGAAGAGGAGGAGCGGCAGCAGCAGGCGGCGGCGGGCGGGCGUUGGGCCUCUGCUGCCCCCGGCGGCUCCGCGCGGCACCGCGGCUGCUGCUGCUGCUGCUCCUCCUGCUGGGCGGUCGCAGGGGCCGCCGCCGCCGCUGGGCCCGCCCGGCCUCCGCCGCCGCCUGGUCCCUCCCAGCCAGGCUCGCGUCGCUGCUGCCGCCGCCGCCUCCCUCCCUCCCUGCCUGCCUGCCUGGCUCGCUCUCGCUCGCUCGCUCCCGCCCGCGGCAGCCAUGGCGGCGCUGCACGGCGGCGCGGCGGCCCCCAAGGCGGGCGCCCCGCCGCAGAUCCCGGACACCCGCCGCGAGCUGGCCGAGCUGGUCAAGCGCAAGCAGGAGCUGGCGGAGACGCUGGCCAACCUAGAGCGGCAGAUCUAUGCCUUCGAGGGCAGCUACCUGGAGGACACCCAGAUGUACGGCAACAUCAUCCGCGGCUGGGACCGGUACCUCACCAACCAGAAGAACUCCAACAGCAAGAACGAUCGACGGAACCGCAAGUUCAAGGAGGCCGAGCGCCUUUUCAGCAAGUCAUCUGUGACAUCGGCUGCUGCAGUGAGUGCGUUGGCCGGAGUCCAGGACCAGCUCAUUGAAAAACGGGAGCCCGGCAGCGGGACAGAGAGUGACACGUCCCCGGAUUUCCACAACCAGGAGAACGAGCCCAGCCAGGAGGAAGCCGAAGAGCUGGACGGCUCCGUCCAAGGGGUGAAGCCCCCUAAAGCGGCAUCUUCUGCCUCCUCUGGCAGCCACCACACUAGCCACAAAAAGCGGAAGAACAAAAACCGGCACAGCCCGUCUGGCAUGUUUGAUUAUGACUUUGAGUAUGUAUAUUAGGUUAGGCUGGCAAGUUUUUUAAAAUACAGACAAAAGCGCGAUGGAGGAUUGAUCUCAAGUUGAACAAAAAACCCCGAGCUGACUACUAGGUUUCUCCCCACGGCAGCUUCCAGGAGCUGCUCCUCCUCCCAGCCACUCUCCAUCCCAAGAGACGGAAUAAGCACAAGGCCGGCUGCCUGCCAGACCACACGCUUCCCCUCGGACGACAAUCCCGGGCUGCUGCUUCCUGCCAGUCGGAAAACGGCUCCUGAGCUCCUCUGAUUGGCCAGUCCUUCCGCGCUGCCGUUCCAUCGUGUGUGACAUCGCCCCGUGUGAGAGAGACUCUUGGUGGUCUUCCCUUCCCUUCCCUUCCCUUCCCUUCCCUUCCCGGUCCUUUACCUCUUCCUCCUGAGUUCUUUUUUUGUCUCAUGUACGUUGCAUUUUAUUUUAUUGAUAAAUAAACCUUGAUAUGUGA
Hemicordylus capensis (graceful crag lizard) is the source of this 1787-nucleotide RNA transcript. It is a transcript of the gene named MYST/Esa1 associated factor 6, with no coding region annotated. The record is from RefSeq and is a predicted model, not a curated record. The transcript is spliced from 9 exons. NCBI's taxonomy places the organism in Eukaryota, Metazoa, Chordata, Lepidosauria, Squamata, Cordylidae.